Long non-coding RNA from Tetranychus urticae (two-spotted spider mite), 396 nucleotides. RefSeq lists it as uncharacterized. Lineage: Eukaryota; Metazoa; Arthropoda; Arachnida; Trombidiformes; Tetranychidae. The record is from RefSeq and is a predicted model, not a curated record.
GACAAGCUCACCGAACUAAAUGAUAUUGUAAACUGCUUUAAAGGUGUGUAUAAACAGUGUUACUUUAUUGUAUUUUAAUUAACUAUUAUAAUUUAAUAAUUAAUUGAUGUCUUUUUACAGUCUUUGAAAGAUGGAGUUACAUAUGUUAUGUAUAUUAUUAGUCAGCGAACGCGGAAGGUCAAAUACCUAAUAAGUAACCCACGGCUUGAUGAUGACGAAGUUUAUUCCAAGGAUCUGGUUUAUCAUGUAAGAACAGAACCUUUAGAUGGAUCUGUUUUACACAAGGUUUUUCCAAAUUUAAGGAUCGCUGACAUUUCCCCGCCAUACAGGAUAAGAAAAAAAUAUGACAUUUCUAAUUAGGCUUUGGAGCUGUUGAGAAAUGGCAAACACAUCAAA